RNAcentral lists this ribosomal RNA (404 nucleotides) under uncultured Stappia sp. RNAcentral describes it as "bacterial SSU rRNA". It matches the Rfam family "Bacterial small subunit ribosomal RNA", at positions 378 to 774 of the family's 1533-position model. The record is from RNAcentral. Lineage: Bacteria; Pseudomonadati; Pseudomonadota; Alphaproteobacteria; Hyphomicrobiales; Stappiaceae.
AAAGCCUGACGCAGCGACGCCGCGUGAGGGAUGAAGGUUUUCGGAUCGUAAACCUCUGUCAGAAGGGAAGAAACCGCACCGUGCUAAUCAGCGGUGCCUUGACGGUACCUUCAAAGGAAGCACCGGCUAACUCCGUGCCAGCAGCCGCGGUAAUACGAAGGGGGCUAGCGUUGUUCGGAAUUACUGGGCGUAAAGCGCACGUAGGCUGACUUUUAAGUCAGGGGUGAAAUCCCGGGGCUCAACCUCGGAACUGCCUUUGAUACUGGAAGUCUUGAGUCCGAGAGAGGUGAGUGGAACUCCGAGUGUAGAGGUGAAAUUCGUAGAUAUUCGGAAGAACACCAGUGGCGAAGGCGGCUCACUGGCUCGGUACUGACGCUGAGGUGAGAAAGCGUGGGGAGCAAACA